UUCCGGUUCCUGCAAAACAUGAGUACGAGGACCCCAUAAUAUGACAUAAAUAGAUAAAGAAAAACAAUCGAAAGUGACAAAAUAAAAGAAAGAAGAAAACACUUUCCAUCGUAGAAAACUCCACCAAUCUUUUCUUUAGAUGUCUUAAUCACAAAACAUAUGAGCAAUCCACUGUCCAUGCACUGACAAAACUACACUCUUCUCUUCUCUUUAUUUAUGUUCCCAUAUACCGGAAAUAUAUUUUUAAAUAUUCAAGUAUAUUAUAUAUAUUAUCAAUCUAAAAAAAAUUCCAUAAAAAUAAGUAAUUACAAUUAAUAUAUAUGAAAGUAGAAAAUGUAUAUAGCUGGAAUCAGCUGGAGCUAAUCAUAUCAAAACAGGAAUAGAGUCUAUCCCUGUCGGGCCACGCUUGGUUUUUUUGUUAGGACAUCUUUGUCUUCCAUGUACAGACAUAUACCCAAUGUCCUUAUCAUAAAAAUAGAAAUGUUAUAAUUCUCAAAAGAAAAAAAAAAUGUUAUGAGGGUCCAUUUUAUUAAUUUGUUUAAUAUUAUAAAAAAUUAUUGAUCAAAAUUAAAUCUUAACUUAAAAUUAUAUAAUGACUUAUUCACCUGUUAUCUAUUUAAUAUUUUUUAAAAAUUAUUAUUGAUGGGAAUUAUAUUAUAAUUUCAAAUUUUACACCGAUUUAUUAUUGCAUUAUUGACACAUUAUCGCAUAAAAAAAAUAAUACCCUUUAAUAUAAAACUAAUCAUUUAUUAUAUCAAUUAAACUUACAUAAUUACACAAUGUCAAAAAUAAUUAUACAACUAAUUAAAUUUACUAAUUAAUUAAUUAAUUAAUUCCACAUAACUCGUGCUUAUAACUUUCUUUUCCCUAAUUAUUUAUUUUUGGACAAAAGAAAAACAAAUGCUUCAAUUUGUAACCUACUAAGAAACUACCAAGAAACUAGUCCAUAAUAGAACAAAUUAACAUUAAAAAGAGAAUAGUUAAAUUCCAAUCUGCAGAUCCAAGGAAAUAGACUCGGUUGACUUUUUAAGGUCAACCAUAUUAAAUUAUAAUCUAAAACAUUUUAACAGAUUUAUAAAUUUUAAUUCCUAAAACAAAUUAAUAAUUUAAUUUGUGAGUGUGAAUUCUAGUUAAAAUAUACAUAUUAUGGAUCAAACUUGACCUAAUAAUACUGAAAUUCAGAUUUAGAAUUAUGAAUUUGUGAGCUUCAAUUCUAAUUAAAAUUUAACUAUUGAAAAUAAUUAAGAUAGUAUAAUUAUUGAAUUAAUAAUUUAGUUCAUUUUUUUAUAAUAAAGAGGAUUGAAAUUUAAUAAUAUAAGAUUAUAGGGAAGGUAAAUAUGUCUUUUAAAUUCAAUUCAUCAAUUAAGGAUAGUUAAUAAAUAAAAUCCACUUCAUUUAAAAAUGAUGAAAUAUAAAUUUUAAAAAUAAAAUGUAAUUUGUCCUCUAAUUCAUUUGUAUUCAUAGUGAAAUAGAAAUAAAUAAUAAGACAAAUGUAUUUAAUUUUAUGGGAUACGAGUAUUAAAAAAUCCCAUUACUACACCAAAUCAAUUCAAGAAAUUGAAAUUAUUAAUUUGUUUAGUUAAUUAAACUAAUUAAAGUCCUUAAUUUGAUAAAUAUAAUAUAAAUUAUUAAGUAACAAAAUCCAAAUACAAAAAUCCGUUAAAAUGCUGCAACGGAGUUUAAACGCGUGACAGCAGCCAAAGUAACAGUCUCUUAACAGACAAUAUAAGUCACGACUCUGUCUCUCUGGGUCUUAAGCGCCAGCGAAAUUUAGGACUAACAACAUAUAUAGCAGAACUCGGAGAAGCAGAAGCUAAAGAUUUUACAAUAUCUUUUAUUAUUAUUAUUAUUAUUAUAUUUUUGUUAAAUAUAAUUUGUAUUGAUUGGAAAGCAAACAACCUAUAAAAGCUUCAAGCUUAACCAGAAACCAGAGAAAAAAAAAAAGUGUAAAAAAAAGGGUGACGGAGAGUGAUUGUUUUUCUUGGCGAUUGAACCCGGAUCCGACAUCGUCGGACCCACCCAUUCACCAACUUUCCUACCACCCGCCGUUCUAUUCUCCCUCUCCCUCUUUCAGUGUUUCUGUUUCUUUUGGGUGUUUAUUUGCAGAAAGAGGGAGAGAUCCUUUAACCUUUUCUCUUCUUUCUUCUUCAGGUUGGUAAUUUGUUUACAUUUUUUUUUUUUUGUAAAAACUGGGUUUUGGUUAAAAUUUUCAAUAAUACAAGUAUAAUAUAUAUAUAUUUUUUGGUUAUCUAUAAUCAUAAUGGCUUUUAAAAAAAAAAAAUAUUUUUUUCCAGAAUUAAUUUUGUUUCAAUUUUUGCUUAUUGUUAUUAGUUGAAUUAAAUAUAUAUCUAUUUGAUUCUUUAUAUAUAUUCAUGUUAUUCACCUUAUUGUCUGUUUCUUUCAUUGUUUUCCUUGUCUAGUUAUGUAUAUGCAUUUCCUUUUUUUCCUAUGAUAUAAUGUCAACAUUUUCAUCUUUUCUAUUGAUAUGGAUUUUAUAAUCCAAUUUUACUUGUUUUUGUCUUUUUUACCUUGUAGGAUAUGGACCCUUUAUCAUACUUUUGCUUGGUUUCUCUUCAUAUAUUUUUCUCAUUUCAGUUUCUUAUUUAACUUUGAAGAAGGUGCUUCUUUUGCAGUGAGCAGAGGAUCUCUCUCGCUCUCUAUUAGUUUUCAACUUUUUCAACAGGGUAUGUAGUUUUUCCCCAGUAAUUUAUUUUAAUUUUCUCUUUGUUGUGUUAUAUUUCAUGUAGCUUUCUAAUUUGCAAAGUUUUUAGCAAUGAUAUAAUGCUUAUUUAGGAUAUUGUAAUGCCAGUAGGAGAUUGGUUAGUAGGUAUAAUUUCUUGAGAUCUCAAUACUUUUACUCUUCUAUUAUCAUUUAGUAAAUUUGAGUUUUGUUAAAAUUUUUCAUUAAUCUUUAAUACAAAUUUUGUUGUUGUAUGCAACUAUACAUUGUUAUUUGACCAAUUCUAAGAAUAAUUACUCAUCUGACUUGCUUAGCUGAAAAUUUGUAUCUUUCUUUUUGGAUUUCUGUCUCUUAUGCUAUGCAGAAGGCAUUUGUCUCAAAGAUUGAUUUUGGUAUCUUUUAACUAUGAUAUUUUUGUUGUUGACAGGUUUCUGUAACCAAGUAGCUAGCUAUAAUGGGAGGCUGUUAUUCUACUCCACCCAAAAAAAUUGAAGUGCACAAGAAGAAACACCAUCACCGAUCUGGCAAACGCCGCGUGAAGAUAUUUAGAUCUCAUGAUGGAAGUAAGAAAAGGAAUGGUGAUACUGGACGUGUGACAGAUUUUGCUUUGAGUCAAUUUGUCCAUAUGGAUUUUGACGAUGGUCAAACUCCUAGCAUCGUCAAAUCCAGUGCCUUGAAUUCAGCAUAUCAUCUUACCCAGAUGCAAUGGCACCUCAGCCAAGUGAACUCUGAUGGUAUGUCUUAGCAUAAGUAACUGUCAUUUUUCAGCUAUAUCUUUGUAGUUCAUAGAUUAUACUGUUUAACAUAGAGUAUAAAUGUUCCAAAAGAUUUCAAUGGAUAGAAUUUCCUCAUUUUCCUUUAUCUGUUUUUUGGUAGUUUCUAUAUGUUUAGCUAGUUGUUUUCUCCCCAUUCAUUUUUGUGUUCAGUCAAUGGUUUCUGCCUGUGCUUAUUCCAAAAUAUGCAUGUCCUUGGUUAUGAUCAUUCCCAUUAAGGCAUGUUCCCUCUAGUUUUAGAGGCACUACUAAAGAUACACCUGUACAAUAUAAGAGCUUGAGAAUUGAUUUGAAAAGAUUGUGUUUGCAGGAGUUUGCCAAGAGGAAGCUUGGUUUGAUUCAGUCAGUAUUCUAGAAUCUGAAUCUGAUGAUGAAUUCAGUAGUGUGCUUGGAGGUAACAAAUGCUGAAUUUCUUAACUAAAUUCAUAAGAUCUGACCUCUUUUUUUCCUUUUCUGUUAAAUGUUAUUUAUCUAUCUGUGCAAUUUCUUACUAGUUAAAUUAUUUAUCUGCAGACCGGUUUUCAUCAGUAGGUACUUCCAUUGGAAACAUUUCUGGUGGACAAGUGCUUCAGUAUGAAAGUUCUUCAUGCUUCAUGGACGGAAGGGGUAAAUAUGAAGAAUACCAUCAAAGUUACGUGAAAAUAGAUGGAAAUAAGAUGGGCAUAAAUGAAUAUAAGGAAUCAAAAGGGUUCACACUUACUGGUACCCAAGCUUAUGAGCUUUCAUGCAUGGGGAUGGCUGAGGAGAACAGAAGAAACAAAAUGUUGGAUAAUUAUGGAAGCUUCAAAGCUCUAAAAGAAGAUAGAUGCGACUCACAAGGGAAUACCUUAAAAUCUGGCAUAGCUCGGUUGGUUCCUACUGUAAGUUUCAAUGACAAGGUUAUAAGUGCUUCAACUCAAAAAACAAAAUUAGCAGUUUUCAGGCUCUCUUUUAAGAGGAAAUCAUGCGAUGCAGAAGAAACCAAUGAAUGUUGUAAGUAGUCAGGUUACAAGUCUAUUGAGUAAUUCAACUUUUCUUUUUUAAAUUGACAUUCCCAAAAAUUCCUACAAAUUCCAUUCAGCAUAUGAAUUGUUUGAUAAUGAUAUUUCAAUUUUAUGUGGUUAUGAUCAUGUGCUUGUGUAACACUCCGUCAAUCAAUUAUUGAUAUAUAUGCAGGCGCAUCAAAAAGAUUCUUGUAUCGUCCGAAAGCAGGAUAUAUCAUUCCACGUGGCAUGGGAGAAAAGACAACUACAGGAUGUUGGUCUGAGAUUCCUCCCUCCAAUUUUAAACUCCGUGGCGAGACCUAUUUCAAGUAUGCUACUGAGUUGCUCUGACCAUCCUUGACUGGAUGCUAAAGCAGUUAAACCAAGUAGUUAUUCUGUUGUUGUCUUUGUGAUUAGAUAAAGAUAUAAUUGUAUAAUGAUCUACAAUGCAGAGAUAAGAGGAAAUGCCCUGCUCAAAAUUGCAGUCCAUAUACCCCAAUUGGUGUUGAUUUGUUUAUCUGCCCAAGAAAGGUUAAUCACAUUGCACAAUGCCUGGAGCUUCCUAAUGUCAAAGCUGAAGGCAAAAUCCCUUCUCUUCUAAUUGUAAAUAUCCAGGUAUAGUUAUGUUUCAAACAUACCGCAUAUUUACAGUAUACUUGAAUUUUAAAACAGUUUUUUCAAUUUGUAAAGCUAAUAGUAUAGUGGCUUCUGGGCAGUUUUAUUUAUGUUGUUGUGUCCAAACUGCAGUUGCCUACUUAUCCUGCUGCGAUGUUCCUUGGUGAUAGUGACGGGGAAGGGAUGAGUCUUGUACUGUACUUUAAGGUUUCUGAGAAUUGGGAAAAAGAAAUUUCUUCUCAAUGUCAGGAAAAUAUUAAGGUAAGUUUUCUAUGAAUUGUCUUUUUUUGUUAUUGUACCGCAGCGUACUUUGUUUCUUUGUUUUAGUUAGUUAGUUAUUUAUAUUUUCAGAAGUUCUAUCUAUAAUAUAAGCGACUCCCAGAUUUGUUUUUUUUAGUGUUGGGAGGUGGUUUGUGCAGUUGAUUAUUGUAACUAUUGUUCUGAGAUUAUCUUAAUUUUUUUGUUUGGCAAUGUUAAUUGGUUUUGUUUAAAAUUUCCAACAAAAAGCAGAAACUGGUCGAGGAUGAGAUGGAAAAAGUUAAAGGGUUUGCAAAAGAAUCAAAUAUUCCUUUCAGAGAAAGACUAAAGAUCAUGGCUGGUUUAGUCAAUCCUGAAGAUCUGAAUUUAAGUUCUGCCGAAAAGAAGCUUGUUAACGCUUAUAAUGAAAAACCAGUCCUUUCUCGUCCGCAACAUGAAUUUUAUAAGGUAAUUCUUGUCUCAAAUUUGGUUUUGUCAAAGCUUAAGCUAAACAUAACUCUGUUGAAAUUCCUUAUAAUUUGGUUUUGCAUUCAUAUGAUGUCAAACUAGACAUAACAUGUUCCUUUUAGGACAGGGUCUGUUUGUGGUUUGCUGACAAUGUAUCUAUAUAUCCUGCAGGGCCCUAAUUAUUUUGAGAUUGAUCUAGAUAUUCAUCGAUUCAGCUACAUAUCAAGAAAGGGACUUGAGUCAUUUCGAGAUCGUCUUAAAAAUGGAGUCCUUGAUCUUGGUUUAACUAUCCAGGUAAUGAAUCAUGCUCAAAAUAUUCAUUUAUUGGAUAUUCUUAAAGGUAUUUAGGUGUUUAAUCCUCAAUCCAUUCUCUACAAAUCUAGAUGGAUGCCACCUGAUUAUGAGUAUUAUCUGCAAUAUUAUUACGUGCAACGAGACGUGCACCGUGUCGUAUGCAUUUAAUCUUUCUACAUUCUCAGACUAACUUAACAUUCUAUAAGAUAGGCACAAAAACAAGACGAACUUCCAGAGAAAGUGUUAUGCUGUUUGAGACUGAACAAGAUUGAUUUCGUUGACCAUGGUCAAAUACCCACACUUAUGACUCCUGAAGACAGUUGAUAUGUAUUUAUGAAGAGUAGGACAGUUGAAAGGUAAAGAAAAUCCAUGUAAUGAAGAAGAUGCACAUUCUGAGAAACUCAUGGAAAGGAAUUCUGCAAUUAGUGGAUGAGAGGAAGAAGGCACUCCUUAAUUCCCAAUUUUGGAAUUCAAAUAUGUAGAUGUUAUUCAAUUAUGUUCUUUUUUGCUUGUUAACAAGUAUAUUCUUUUCCAAAAUUUUAAUUGAUAAAAAAAAAAAAAAAAAUACAGCAAUAAGAAAGUAUUCUGAUACGUGAAUUUUACUUGUUUAAAAUAAUUAAUAAAUUGAUACUGAACUUUCUUUUCUAGAAAAUAAUUAUGUUUAAGAAGUUUAUCAAAGUAUGUAAAUUAAAAUAAUACUCUUAAUUUAUGUAUAUUCUCUACAAGUAUAAUGUUCAUGUGUCAACCAAACACGAGAAAUCUUAUAUUUUCGAGCCAUUUCCCAUAAGUAAUGUUCUAUGAUUUUUACAUAUUAUCAUAUUAUACUCAUUUAAUUUCAUUUUGUUUACUUGUUAUUCUUUAUUGGAUAUUCCCAAAAUGUAUGCAAUAUUUCUAAAUUUAUACAUGUAAACAAUUAUUUUUUCCAUAAUAACAUUUAUAAUUAUUCAUUAAAUGAAUGGUUUUUAUUAAUAUCUUAAUGAGUUGAGGGUAAAAAAUGAUAAAAUAAUUUUUAUUGAUUAAAUUCUUAAUAUUCUUAUUUUAUCGAGAGUAUAAUAUUCGCUAAUUUUCAAAUAUUACUUUUCUCCACAGGUCAGUACUUCUAGAAUUUUAUUAAUUUUGUUAAUUUAUAUUAAAUCUAUUUGAUUCUAAGAAAAUAAAAUAAAACUAUUUAAGUCUUGUGGUUUAGAGCUCGAGUCCUCUCAACAAUAAGAGUUUUUAUUAAUUUGAGAAUUACUCUUAUUAUGUAGUAUACAAUAUAAUUUUAGCAAAUUGGGCCUCUAAUAAAAAAAAAAAAAAAAAAAAAACUUUUUGAAUAAAGGAUCAAUAUGUUAAGUUUAUCAAAAGAACUUUGCAGUUAAUUUUUAAAAAAUAAAAGGAUUUAUAUGUUAGUUUUAUUAUAAUUUAGGGACCAAAAAUUUGUAUCCCUUGUAAAUAUGAGAAAGAAGAGGGGCAAGAGAGAAAAGAAAAUUAGGGUUAGCAGGAUAUAAAUAGAGAAGAAAAGGGAAAAGCAGAGCAAAGACGCCUGAGGCCGAGCGCUUACCUCAUGAGUAAGGGGUGGCGUGGUAUUCCACGGAGAGAGGUUCUAAUCGUGGCGCAUGUUAGAGCGAUGGGCGUACAAUAACAGAUAACUUGGGGCCGCCAUGGCCGCUUUGCUGCUUUAGUCUUGCAGCCAAAGCGAGGGGAUUGCCCUACAUUUUCAUUUCUUCAAUUUCUUUUUUUAUCCAUUUUGCUAUCUAAGAAUUCUUCCGUUUUCUUUUUAAAUGGAAAAUUUUAAUUUUUUUAUGAAGUUUUGAAAGGAAUUUUUUUUUCAACUUCUAAAUUUCAAUGAAGCUUGUAGCUUUAUCUGCAAGUUGGGUGGGUUAAUUUUCAUAAUUUAUUU
Molecule: long non-coding RNA, 7908 nt
Filed under: Jatropha curcas
Lineage: Eukaryota; Viridiplantae; Streptophyta; Magnoliopsida; Malpighiales; Euphorbiaceae
Description: long non-coding RNA (JCUR_LNC002647)
Source: RNAcentral